GAGAUUUCGUCACACACCAGACCACAAGGGCUGAUGAGACUUCCAAGAUAAGUGAAGUG
RNAcentral lists this microRNA precursor (59 nucleotides) under Schistosoma mattheei. RNAcentral describes it as "mir-3492 microRNA precursor family". It matches the Rfam family "mir-3492 microRNA precursor family", at positions 20 to 79 of the family's 79-position model. The record is from Rfam by way of RNAcentral. Lineage: Eukaryota; Metazoa; Platyhelminthes; Trematoda; Strigeidida; Schistosomatidae.